GCAGACUCCCUUCUCAUGCCCUGUUGAAGGCUGCGAGUUGGAAUUUGUUCAAUUAGCGCUUUCUUUGGCGAGAAGAGCAUGGAAGGAGUCGAUAUUAUUUAUAUAAUCCUCGCCACCUGGUUGAAUUGAUUAGGUGGGAGCUGAUUGGUCAUUCGCUCCAUUCACAGGCCUCCUCCCAUCAUGAACUCGACCAGGAUACAUUCAGGAACCACAUCACAAUCCUUGUUAACUUCCUGAAGUCCAAGCACUACCCCGAUCCUUGGCAGGUUGAUUCAUCAAUGUUUGUGCUGUCCCUUCAAAGAUGGAAGCUAAACUGGGUGUCCUCUCUGCUGGCAUUAGUUGAUGGACAUUAAAGAUCCCAUGAUGUCCUCUGUGAAGAGUCGGCCAGCACAUGAGAGAGAACAACGCGACGGGACUCGAUGGUUCAACAGUCACGGUACAUGAGGUGAACAUGAGUGAGUUGAGCCGGCAGGACUGGGACAGUGGGUGGCGGAAACAACUCAAUGCGGCAAUCGUUGAACAUUCGAUGCAAUGGUGAACUUCCUCAUUUGACUUUG
RNAcentral lists this long non-coding RNA (557 nucleotides) under Eptatretus burgeri (inshore hagfish). RNAcentral's name for it is "lncRNA (ENSEBUG00000017323.1)". The record is from RNAcentral. Lineage: Eukaryota; Metazoa; Chordata; Myxini; Myxiniformes; Myxinidae.